Molecule: ribosomal RNA, 516 nt
Filed under: uncultured bacterium
Lineage: Bacteria
Description: bacterial SSU rRNA
Rfam family: Bacterial small subunit ribosomal RNA
Source: RNAcentral
ACGAACGCUGGCGGCGUGCCUAAUACAUGCAAGUCGAACGGUCUUUCUAUGGAAGCUUGCUUCCACUGAGAAGAUAGUGGCGAACGGGUGAGUAACACGUGGGUAACCUGCCCAUAAGAGGGGGAUAACAUCCGGAAACGGGUGCUAAUACCGCAUAGUUUUCUUGAUCGCAUGAUUGAGAAAGGAAAGACGGCCUUUGUGCUGUCGCUUAUGGAUGGACCCGCGGCGUAUUAGUUAGUUGGUGAGGUAAUGGCUCACCAAGACGAUGAUACGUAGCCGACCUGAGAGGGUGAUCGGCCACAUUGGGACUGAGACACGGCCCAAACUCCUACGGGAGGCAGCAGUAGGGAAUCUUCCGCAAUGGACGAAAGUCUGACGGAGCAACGCCGCGUGGGUGAAGAAGGUUUUCGGAAUCGUAAAACUCUGUUGUCAGAGAAGAACAAGUUGGAGAGUAACUGCUCCAGCCUUGACGGUAUCUGACCAGAAAGCCACGGCUAACUACGUGCCAGCAGCAGC